UACGUAGGGGGCAAGCGUUGUCCGGAUUUAUUGGGCGUAAAGAGCGUGUAGGCGGCCAGGUAGGUCAGCUGUGAAAACUCGAGGCUUAACCUCGAGACGCCGGCUGAAACCCUCUGGCUAGAGUCCGGAAGAGGAGAGUGGAAUUCCUGGUGUAGCGGUGAAAUGCGCAGAUAUCAGGAAGAACACCCGUGGCGAAGGCGGGUCUCUGGGCCGAUACUGACGCUGAGGAGCGAAAGCGUGGGGAGCGAACAGG
Molecule: ribosomal RNA, 253 nt
Filed under: uncultured bacterium
Lineage: Bacteria
Description: partial 16S ribosomal RNA
Rfam family: Bacterial small subunit ribosomal RNA
Source: RNAcentral